Long non-coding RNA from Cyprinus carpio (common carp), 2582 nucleotides. Lineage: Eukaryota; Metazoa; Chordata; Actinopteri; Cypriniformes; Cyprinidae. The record is from Ensembl.
GUUCUGCUGAUGUUCUCACAGAACUGAACUACAUCUCCUGCCAGAUGGAAACAACAUCUCUUUUAACUUCCUCUGUGUGCUCCUCAAAACAUGAAUGACUUGUUUACUUUCUUCACUUGUUGCCUUUAAACACAAAAAAUGAUAUGUACAGAAAGAUAAUACAGUAUUUAGCUACUGAAUUUAUAUACUGAUCAGCAGACCACACAGAAUCUGUGGAGCUUUUUUUCCCCACAUUUUGAUUUUGGGAGAAAAUAGAUUUUUUUUUAUGGGUAAAAUGUGUUAAAUGUAGGUGAAAGUCAUCUGUGGAGUUAAGAUGCAGAUUCAUUACAAGAUCAGAGAUCGGUACAGAUCUGAGGCUUAAGAAAUAUAAAAUCUAAUUUAUGUCAUUUUUUUGUAUUUUAUUUUUUUAUCAACAAUUGUAACAUAUACAUGUACAAGAGUACAUGUAUAAUAAAGUUGCAGCAUGGUAUAAACAAUUUCAUAAAAUUUGCAUAAUGCCUUUAAUUUGUAAUAUUUUCAGUUUCAGUUGUCUGAUCAAAGAGCAACUGACCGCUUGACAUUGUCUGCAUGUUUUAUGCAUUAAUGAGCAAACGUGUACCUAAUAAAGAGACUACAAGGUGAAUAAUGUAUUCCACAUUCUUAAUUUUGUUAUUAUGAUCUUAUGUUUUUCAAGUGUAUUAAUGGUACAGAUGUUUUUGGCACAUUUAUGUGUUACUUUUACAAAACUACCUUCCUUCUUUUAGUCUUUGCCCCAGAUCUGUCGUCUGUUAAAGUGAAUAUAGCUGUACAUGUGGUCUCACGAUCUGUGUUCAUCUUCAUAACUGGCUGUUCAAUGCAUUAAUAGUUUGUGGUCUGAUGUUCCACUUCCUUAUUCACCCAUUAUUAGAGUCUCAUUCUGUAUCUUCUCUCACACUCGCUGUUAUGGAGCUGUUCAUCUUCAUAGUUUUUCAGCUCCUGAUGGAGGUUCAGUCUCACCGAUAUCCUAGAGUAAAAGUAUCUCCAGAUGUCAUAAGAGAGUCCAGCUCAGUGAAGAUCAGCUGUGAGACAGAACCACGUGUUACAGUGAAUAAAUGUGAUUUCUACAUAAACAGAGAGGAGAAGAAAAUGAAAACCAGUCCAUCAUGUGAGCUCGAGCUCACUGGUGCUGAAGUGUUCAGAUGGGCAGCUGUAAAAUCACCUGAAUCACUCAACAUUAUCUGUUACUACACAAUGAUAAAUGUGCAAGGCUCAUUCGUACCAUCAUCUGAUUCUGAUCCUGCCACAGUGACAGUUCUAGAAUUUCCUAGAGUAAAAGUAUCUCCAGAUGUCAUAAGAGAGUCCAGCGCAGUGAAGAUCAGCUGUGAGACAGAAACACAUGUUACAGCGAAUAAAUGUUAUUUCUACAUAAACAGAGAGGAGAAGAAAAUGAAAACCAGUCCAUCAUGUGAGCUGGAUCUCACUGGUGCUGAAGUGUUCAGAUGGGCAGCUGUAAAAUCACCUGAAUCACUCAACAUUAUCUGUUACUACACAAUGAUAAAUGUGCAAGGCUCAUUCAUAACAUCAUCUGAAUCUGAUCCUGCCACAGUGACAGUUCUAGGUGAGAUAUUUCACUGCUGUUCUUCUGUAUUAGAAACUUUUAUUCCAGUGUUUUUACUAACCAUGGAUCAUUUUACGUCAUACAGAUUCACUUGAUAAACACAUCAUCAGUUAGUAAUGAUGAUGUUACACCUAUAGGGCACUUCUGAAUGGAUUGGAUAAUAUUUGUAAAGACCCUUUCAAUAGAUUGUAUAGUACAAAUUAAGAUACUGUCCCAGUGACAAGUUGUUGUACCAGUGAUGCGCGGGUCAAUGUAUAAACAACCCGCACCCGACCGACGUUUUCAACUAACCCGCCCGCAACUCGAACCGCAAAAAAAGAAAAAGAAAAUAUUGUACCCGACCAGCUUUUUUUAAAAGUAGUAAAUGCUCAUCGUAGCGCAGGGGCGUAGAAUUAGGGGAGGACGCCACGUGUCCCUACCAAUGUCCAGCGACUGCCAAACUGUCCCUAGCGAUAAUUUUGAAAAAACAAUUAAAUAUAUGUAUAUGUUUUGUAAUUUCGCAUCUGAUGACGCAUCUGAAACAUCAUUCCAUUGAUAUUAUUACCUAAGAAGUUAAAGUAAAUAGGCUACGUUAGAAAACGGCGCGCUUUCAAGGACGCGCAUUUAUUAUUUUUAAAUGGGCGGAAUGUAGUCACUCACCGGACAAGAAGCGCAACAGCUGAGGAUACUGAACUGCAGCGUGCCGGUUAGAGCGGUUCUCGUUCUCGAGUCAAGAACCGGUUGCAUCGGUUUUCGGAUCACCAGUACACUGAACCGAGAACCGUUUCUGUCGGACGCGUCCGAUUUGAGAACCGAGGAGCUGAUGAUACUGCGCAUGCGUGAUUCAGCGUGAAGCAGACUGACACACAGCGCGUCUGAACCGAACUGGUUCUUUCGGUGAUUGAUUCUGAACUGAUUGUGUGCUAAUGUUAUGAGCGCGGGUAAACCGCAGGCUUGAAUGAAGGGCGAAACGUAAGUUUAUUUAAUAACAAAUAAAUCGCAAUGGAUUAUGUAUAGUAAGUGGAUC